GGUUCGAUCAUGGCUCAGAUUGAACGCUGGCGGGAUGCUUUACACAUGCAAGUCGAACGGCAGCACGGACUUCGGUCUGGUGGCGUGAGUGGCGAACGGGUGAGUAAUGUAUCGGAACGUGCCUAGUAGCGGGGGGAUAACUACGCGAAAGCGUAGCUAAUACCGCAUACGCUCCUUCGGGGGAAAGCGGGGACCUUCGGGCCUCGCACUAUUAGAGCGGCCGAUAUCGGAUUAGCUAGUUGGUGGGGUAACGGCUCACCAAGGCGACGAUCCGUAGCUGGUUUGAGAGGACGACCAGCCACACUGGGACCGAGACACGGCCCAGACUCCUACGGGAGGUGCAGUGGGGAAUUUUGGACAAAUGGGGAAACCCUUGACCAGCCAUCCCGCGUGUGCGAUGAAGGCCUUCGGGUUGUAAAGCACUUUUGGCAGGAAAGAAACGGCACGGGAUAAUACCCCGUGCAACUGACGGUACCUGCAGAAUAAGCACCGGCUAACUACUGCGCCAGCAGCCGCGGUAAUACGUAGGGUGCAAGCGUUAAUCGGAAUUACUGGGCGUAAAGCGUGCGCAGGCGGUUCGGAAAGAAAGAUGUGAAAUCCCAGAGCUUAACUUUGGAACUUACUUUGAAAUUACCGAGCUAGAGUGUCAGAGGGAGGUGGAAUUCCGCGUGUGGCAGUGGAAUGGUGAGUUAUGCGGAGGAACACCGAUGGCGAAGGCAGCCUCCUGGGAUAACACUGACGCUCAUGCACGAAAGCGUGGGGAGCAAACAGGAUUAGAUACCCUGGUAGUCCACGCCCUAAACGAUGUCAACUAGCUGUUGGGGCCUUCGGGCCCGUAGCGCAGCUAACGCGUGAAGUUGACCGCCUGGGGAGUACGGUCGCAAGAUUAAAACUCAAAGGAAUUGACGGGGACCCGCAC
This 919-nucleotide unclassified non-coding RNA is filed under the name uncultured Bordetella sp. RNAcentral's name for it is "partial 16S-23S ribosomal RNA intergenic spacer". It matches the Rfam family "Bacterial small subunit ribosomal RNA", at positions 10 to 926 of the family's 1533-position model. The record is from RNAcentral. Lineage: Bacteria; Pseudomonadati; Pseudomonadota; Betaproteobacteria; Burkholderiales; Alcaligenaceae.